Molecule: long non-coding RNA, 987 nt
Organism: Chelonia mydas (Green sea turtle)
Lineage: Eukaryota; Metazoa; Chordata; Testudines; Cheloniidae
Exons: 3
Source: RefSeq, a predicted model, not a curated record
CUGGAACUGAUUGACAGAAUGUGUUUUACAUUAUUGAACUCCCUUUCAUGCUCUGGCAUCCAUGCCCAUUCCGUGACCUUCAGGAGGAGACGUAUUAGCCAUCUGUAUGGAGUGGAUUGUGUACAUCCAGGGCUUCUGUACCCCCCACUGUUAACAGCAGAACAAUCUUUUGCUCAUCCUCCAGUUUAUUUGCUGCUGUGGCUUUUAUAUCCAGCUCACAUUGCUGUUUGAACUUCUUUCCAGAUGUAUUCAGCAUUUCCUCUGAUUCAGGAAAAAUCAAUAUGAGAUCUUAGUUUCAAAAAGUCACCUGUGGCUAGAUAGGACUGGAAGAUCCUGAGUCUAAACAAGAUCUCUAAAACUGGGCAUUCAGAACUAAAAGGCAGAUCCUCAGCUGGUGUAAACGGAGACAGGUUUUUUGAAGUCAAUGGAGCUAUGACAAUUUACACAAGCUGUUGACCGGCUCUAAAUGUUUCAUCUGAACUGAAGAGUGUCUGCACAGCAUUUCUGAAGAAGCUGUACGUAUUAUCAGAACACAAAGGUAAAAGUUUUAGGGUACAGUCCUGUGGACACAAACAAUUCUGCAUCUUCCAGAUAUUGCUACCUAACCCCUUUUUAAAUCUAUUUUUCAUUACUCUCUGUUUUAUGCAACCUUAAACACCCAUGGUCUAUACUUGGUCAAAAUGUCUCCAAAGUAUUCUUAAAAUAAAAUACAGAAUUAAAAUCAAAGUCCCCCCCCCCACAAACAGACGAGUUAGCAAGUGUUCCUUCUGCAGCUUUCUACACUGGCUUUGGAUUCCUGGAACUUGCCUCAUCCAUACUGAAAAUCCCAAUGCUAUUUCGUUCUAACAAAUUAGCAGGUUUAGAUAAACCCCAAGCAAAGCAAAUGGCAUUCAUAGCCUCUUUCAUUUGAGCUCUGGAGAGAGAAACAACUUCCAGCUAUGUCAAUUGUUAAAUUACUCACUGAGCCGGUGGGACUGCACCCUCUGU